This 229-nucleotide long non-coding RNA is filed under the name Phoenix dactylifera (date palm). Its description in RNAcentral is "long non-coding RNA (PDAC_LNC005800)". Lineage: Eukaryota; Viridiplantae; Streptophyta; Magnoliopsida; Arecales; Arecaceae. The record is from RNAcentral.
UUAUGUGUAAAACCAAGAAUUAGCAACAAAAAGAAGAAAUGCAUGAUAACCUUGUAUCCAAUCCUAGCUAUUGAUAACCAUGCAGGGGUGUUCAAUCUGCAGCAUUAAGUUGUCCGGUACUCGUCACCCCUUUCGAAGACUAUUUCCUAUAGCCAACAAAACAUUAUUCCAUCUACCAGCGUCAUCUUUUAUGAGUCAACCUUGUAAUUUGUCCGUGCAAAUAACCUCG